RNAcentral lists this small nucleolar RNA (107 nucleotides) under Gossypium arboreum. Its description in RNAcentral is "Plant small nucleolar RNA R71". It matches the Rfam family "Plant small nucleolar RNA R71". Rfam says of the family: R71 is a member of the C/D box family of snoRNAs containing the C (UGAUGA) and D (CUGA) box motifs. Multiple nearly identical copies of this snoRNA have been identified in Arabidopsis, and it is thought to function as a 2'-O-ribose methylation guide for 18S ribosomal RNA. Lineage: Eukaryota; Viridiplantae; Streptophyta; Magnoliopsida; Malvales; Malvaceae. The record is from Rfam by way of RNAcentral.
AACCCAUGGUGAGGGCACCUUCUUAGUAAGUCCUUAUAUCUCUCCCAUGCAUCGUAGAAGGUUUCUAAAUCCAUCUGCACAAAAGAAGUGAUGUCAUUACGUAAUUU